GACGAACGCUGUCGGCGUGCUUAACACAUGCAAGUCGAACGGAAAGGCCCUGCUUUUGUGGGGUGCUCGAGUGGCGAACGGGUGAGUAACACGUGAGUAACCUGCCCUUGACUUUGGGAUAACUUCAGGAAACUGGGGCUAAUACCGGAUAGGAGCUCCUGCUGCAUGGUGGGGGUUGGAAAGUUUCGGCGGUUGGGGAUGGACUCGCGGCUUAUCAGCUUGUUGGUGGGGUAGUGGCUUACCAAGGCUUUGACGGGUAGCCGGCCUGAGAGGGUGACCGGCCACAUUGGGACUGAGAUACGGCCCAGACUCCUACGGGAGGCAGCAGUGGGGAAUAUUGCACAAUGGGCGGAAGCCUGAUGCAGCAACGCCGCGUGCGGGAUGACGGCCUUCGGGUUGUAAACCGCUUUCGCCUGUGACGAAGCGUGAGUGACGGUAAUGGGUAAAGAAGCACCGGCUAACUACGUGCCAGCAGCCGCGGUGAUACGUAGGGUGCGAGCGUUGUCCGGAUUUAUUGGGCGUAAAGGGCUCGUAGGUGGUUGAUCGCGUCGGAAGUGUAAUCUUGGGGCUUAACCCUGAGCGUGCUUUCGAUACGGGUUGACUUGAGGAAGGUAGGGGAGAAUGGAAUUCCUGGUGGAGCGGUGGAAUGCGCAGAUAUCAGGAGGAACACCAGUGGCGAAGGCGGUUCUCUGGGCCUUUCCUGGCGCUGAGGAGCGAAAGCGUGGGGAGCGAACAGGCUUAGAUACCCUGGUAGUCCACGCUGUAAACGGUGGGUACUAGGUGUGGGGUCCAUUCCACGGGUUCCGUGCCGUAGCUAACGCUUUAAGUACCCCGCCUGGGGAGUACGGCCGCAAGGCUAAAACUCAAAGGAAUUGACGGGGCCCCGCACAAGCGGCGGAGCAUGCGGAUUAAUUCGAUGCAACGCGUAGAACCUUACCUGGGUUUGACAUGGAUCGGGAGUGCUCAGAGAUGGGUGUGCCUCUUUUGGGGUCGGUUCACAGGUGGUGCAUGGCUGUCGUCAGCUCGUGUCGUGAGAUGUUGGGUUAAGUCCCGCAACGAGCGCAACCCUUGUUCACUGUUGCCAGCACGUUAUGGUGGGGACUCAGUGGAGACCGCCGGGGUCAACUCGGAGGAAGGUGGGGAUGACGUCAAGUCAUCAUGCCCCUUAUGUCCAGGGCUUCACGCAUGCUACAAUGGCUGGUACAGAGAGUGGCGAGCCUGUGAGGGUGAGCGAAUCUCGGAAAGCCGGUCUCAGUUCGGAUUGGGGUCUGCAACUCGACCUCAUGAAGUCGGAGUCGCUAGUAAUCGCAGAUCAGCAACGCUGCGGUGAAUACGUUCCCGGGGCU
This 1346-nucleotide ribosomal RNA is filed under the name uncultured bacterium. RNAcentral's name for it is "partial 16S ribosomal RNA". It matches the Rfam family "Bacterial small subunit ribosomal RNA", at positions 28 to 1381 of the family's 1533-position model. The record is from RNAcentral.